GUGUUAUGUAGGAGUUGUUCCACGUGUAGAUGUUUCUCUGGGCGGCGGGCGCAGGUGCCCGUUUGCGGGCUGCUCUGGGCUCCCGGCUCCCGGCGGCGCGGAGCGGCGAAGGAACCAGGAGGGCUGGCGGCCGGUCUGGGAAUGUGGCGGCCGCGCAAGAACGGCCCAUGGCCCUCACUUACCGCUCCAGUGCAGCCGUGACACGGGCCCAUGCCCAGCACCCUCGGGUUCCGCCACAGCCGCUGGACACGCCGCCGACCCGCACGGCUAAGCAGAGCUGGGCUCAGGCGGCAGCCCUCCCGCUCCAACUAACUCCCCAGAAGUAUUGCUUGGUGUGCAUUUCCAGGCUCUGCCUUCUUUCUCAUCUCUUGGUGGCAGGUUGAGGAAAAGGAGAAAAGGUUAAACUUUUGAAUAAACCGGCAGAAUAAGCUUAUAACAUCCCCUCACUAUCUCUGCAUAGGUUGUAGUCUCUGCAGCACUACAUAAGCUUUGCCCAAAGUAAUGAACAGUUGAAAGUCAAAUGUAAUACUUCACCAAACAACUUAAAAAUGCUUGCGCACUGGAAAGGAUUAAGUUGCAGAGAACACAAAUGGACCCAGAGCAACUUUUGCCAAAAGAGAAUAUUGUGCUAAAUGUACAGCCAUAGCUCUUUUCCAUAUGAAGAAACAGUCAGAAGGAUAAAAGAACUUGGUCAAAAUCACACAAGUAAGUAGGACAGAAUCUGGUCCGUGUGUCGGAAGGGUUGUGUUCUUUAACCAGCAGGCUAGCUUUUCUCAAAUCUGAUUCAUGCAUAGAAUAACUAAACACCUCUGUUUGCCUUGAAUAUUCCCUGUUUAUACGUAGGGCUGCUGCAGUUUCUCAUAUUGCCCACUUUGACUCCCAAAAGCAACUGAGAAUACACAAUAAUUUGGUCAUUCUAUCCAUGGACCACUGUGGUGGGACUGCCCAGGAAGCUUAUUAAAAGUGCAGCUUCCUGAGCCCUACUCCACAUCUAGAUAAGUUUUCUUAGGGUUGGCUCAAGAAUCCAGGUACAAGUCUUUUUAAGUGCUUUUGUGGAACCCCCCAGGUGAGUCUCUCACUCUCGUAGUUAAUAAACCAUUUAUUCUGCCUCCCCCAGAUGCCCAGCCACGUCCUAUUAAGGUAGAAGUUCCCCCACCCCAUCAGAGGGUUGCUCGCAGCCAAGUAAUCUCUGGAGCCUUGGAGAAUCUGAAUGGUCUCAUGCUGGCCCAUCUGCCAUGACAAAGCUCCUCCAGAGCAUUCCCCUUCUCAUUUUACAUUCUACCACUCCCAAAGGCAGUCUGCUCCAAUGGGGCCUGACUUCGUGUGUCCUAACGUGCACCUGCUGAUUCAAGCAGUUUAGGAAUAGAAGGUGCUGUGGUUUUCAACCAGGGUGGCCCAACCUCUAAAAUGGUAGUCAAAGCAGUCUCUACCUCCUGGGCACAUCGCCUCUGCAACAGCCCCAGUAAACGAAUGUCCCAUCUAUGCUUUUUCAAAGUCGGCAACAAGGAGUCCCCUCCUAAAGAAGGUUGUCUCUCAUUGCCACACUAUCAAAGGCUGCCCCAACUGUUCCUUACUGUGGGCCUGAUCAGGCUGACGGCAGAGUUGUCUCUUUCCUUCUCUGAGCCAGCCCAAAUCGUCUUAGAAACACCUCUUCACACUGUUGACCAUGUUUUUCAAUGGGAGCUGCUGCUGGGUCUUUAUCUCAUCCUUUCAUGGUGGAGAGAGAGGAUUCUAAUGAUUUUUACUUCUAGGGGAGAGGGGAGUGUAAUGAUUAUGUUGUCAUUUUCUAUUAUGUCCUUUUGUCAUGAAUUUGUUUUCAAUUUCAUGUUAAAAUGGGCCCACCAUUUCCACUUUGUGAGAUCAUUCAGCACCCUCAUUUUGCACCUUUAACAUCACUCUCAGUAUCACUUGGAAAUAUUUGAAAUGGCAUGAGCUUGUCCUCACAUUCCUAUUAGCUGUAAAUCUGGAGCCCCGACAUGAACCUAACCAUUGAGCAGAACACCUCUCCACUACCUGUGUAACACUGGGUAGGCCCCUUAACCUCUUGGUUUUUUUAAGUCCUCAGUUGUAAAAAUGUGAGGGUGCUAUGAAUUUAUAUUUGGGGCACGACAAGGUCGAGAAGAGUGUGUCUUUUCCUUUAUUCUUCCAAACUGGAAUGUCUUCCCUCUCUUCCGCAUGGGUCCAAAUCUCACUUGUCCUUCAGGCCGACUGCCAAGGAGCCUUCCCUGAUUCCCCAGGCCACACAAAUCUCUGCCUCUUAGGGUCAGUGCCAUACAACCUAGCUGUCUCUUACGUUAAUCUUGUCUCUCAAGCCAAACUCAGAAUAUGGGUCUCUCUUGCCCUCCUGUGGCCCCUUGCGGCUGUGCCAGCCCACCGGCACGCCCCACGUGGGGUGUCUACUACACUAGGGCAUGGGUGGGGAGGCCCAGGGUGAGGGGCGAGGCAGAGUACCUUUGCCUCUACCCUGUUCUCCUCCACAAAACUGUCCCUCCUCCUCAAGCCUGCCCCUCAAGUCAAAGGUUCCAUAUAUGACCUCACUGGGUAGUGAUGCCGUCACAGGCAUUCUCAGAGUUUCCAUGGCAGCAUAACUGUGCAAACGGGCUGCACUCAGAGAAACUUCUCUACCAGUUCUCCACCAGAUACCAAUCUUUUUGGCUGUCUGUGUGAGAAUGUGUGACCGGAUAGUGUAUGUGUACUCUAACCUGUGCUCUGUUCCCUGGGUGGGCAGUGCAGCAGGUACACCCAGACAGGGCAACUCUACAUGAGAUAUGAUACACACACAACCUCACCUGGCUGGCACAUGUUCCUGUGGGGGUUGCCAACUACGUACAGCUGAGCACUUUCCCAGAUCAGUAGUGCCUCCCGUUUCUCGUCCUACACCUGGUCACUACCAUGUCCUGUACCACGGGUAUGGAGAAACGCAGUUGGGCUGGCACGGGGAGACAUACUGCCUGGUUGGUGGCUACCGGCUCUACGGGGAUGUUCAUUUGGCCACGCCAGCUAAGGUAGAAGCAGAGAAGCCAGUCCCCAGACGUGCUCCGAAGAGAAAGCACUCUCUGGAAUGGUCGGACGAAGACCUGGGUUGCCCCAGGCCCAAAAUCCGGCGAUUGGAGCUUUCAAGCAGCACAGGAAUACAAGAUGCUCCUUUGGCCACGCCAGCCAAGGUGGAAGCAGAGAAGCCAGUCCCCAGACGUGCUCCGAAGAGAAAGCACUCUCCGGAAAUGCCGGACGAAGACCUGGGUUGCCCCAGACCCAAUAUCCGGCAAUUGUAGCAUGGUGCCAGGAGGCGGACCCCACAGAAUCUUGCAGGGGCCCCUUUGUGAGCUGAAGAAAGAAAAGUCUAGAAAAAACGGAUACCUGGGAGGGGAAGAUGGCGGAAGAGUAAGACGCGGAGAUCACCUUCCUCCCCACAGAUACACCAGAAAUAUAUCUACACGUGGAACAACUCCUACAGAACACCUACUGAAUGCUGGUAGAAGACCUCAGACCUCCCAAAAGGCAAGAAACUCCCCACAUACCUGGGUAGGGCAAAAGAAAAAAAGAGAAAACAGAGACAAAAGAAUAGGGACGGGACCUGCACCAGUGGGAGGGAGCUGUGAAGGAGGAAAUGUUUCCACACACUAGGAAUACCAUUCCCUGGCGGGGACUGCGGGGUAGCUCUGGAACCUCAGAGGAGAGAGCAGCAACAGAGGUGCAGAGGCAGAGCGGAGAGAUUCCCACACAGAGGAUCGGUGCAGACCAGCACUCACCAGCCUGAGAUGCUUGUCUGCUCACUCGCUGGGGCGGGUGGGGGCUGAGUGCUGAGGCUUGGUCUUCAGAGGUCAGAACCCAGGGAGAGGACUGGGGUUGACUGCAUGAGGACAGCCGGGGGGCGGCUAGUGCGCCAGAGCUAGUUGGCAGAGAGUCUGGGAAAAAGCUGGGCCUGCCAGAGAGGCAAGAGACCUUUGUUGCGGGGUGCUUGAGGAGCGGCCCGUCAUAGGAGCUUCCUGCAUCACACACUCACAGACAGCAGGGCAACACCUACGUGAGCACGAGCACAAGCACAAGCCGUGGCUGUUAUAUCUGACCCCAGAGGCUGCCGUCCACCGCUGCUACCAAGAGUCCUGUGUGCAAGGCAGGUCACUGCCCACACCUUCCCAGCAGCCUGUGGAGCCCACCACUGCCGAGGGUGCUGCGAUUGGGGCCAACUUCCCCAGGAGAACGCACAGCACGGCUCAGGCUCUUGCAGCUUCAUGCUGGCCUCUGCCACAGCAGGCACUCCCUGCACAUCCUGAUUGUGAUUGCCAUAUCCCUCCCUCUCCCCAGCCUGAGUGAGCAAGUGAGCCCUAAUCAGCUGCUGCUUUCGCACCCUUUUUCCUGUGCAGCGAACAGAUGUCUGAGGGCGGCCCACUCCCAGAGGUGGGGCCAAAACCAAAGCUAAACCCCAGGGGCUGUGCAACCAAAGAAGAGAAAGGGAAAUCUCCCCGUGCAGCUGCAGAAGCAGUGGAUUAAAUCCCUGCAAUCGGCUUGGCAAACCCUGCGUCUGUAGAAUACCUGAAUAGACAACAAGUUUUCCCACAAUUGAGGCUGUGGGCUUUGGGGACAAGUACAUGUGGGAGUAAGGUCAGAUCAGUCUGAGCUUGCCCCACAGUGCCCACAGUAGGUCCAGAGACCUACCUAGAAGUACUGGAGGACUUCCUGUGGAGGCAGGGAUUGGCUGUGGCUCACUAUGUGGGCAAGGACACUGACAGCUAAGGCCACAGGAAAAUAUCACUACUUUUUUUGUUGUUCAGUUGUUCUUUUUUUAUUAUUCUUUUAAUUUUUUACUUUUUUAUGCUUUUAUUUUUAAUAUAUUUCUAUUCUAUUUUUUUCCUAUUUCUAUGGUAAUUUUUCAUUACACUGUUUUUUCCUUGUUUGUUUUUUCCUUUCUUUUGCUUUGUUUUCAUUUUAUUUUUAACUACAUUUUUCUAUUUUUACUUUACUACUUUGUUGUUUUAUAUGUUUUCCUUUUGUUUUCAUCUUUCAUCUUUGCAUUUUUUUGAUUUUUGUGGGUUAGUUUUAUGCUUUCAUCGCCUCUUUUUAGUUUGCUUUCUGCAUUUGAUGUGUUUCUGGUUUUAUGUGUUUUGUAGUUUUUAGUGUUUGUUUUCAUUUUUGGGUUUGUUUAUUGAUUUGGUUGCUCUCUUCUUUGUUUUUGCUUUUUUUUCUUUUCUUUUCUUUUUGUGAGUACGUGUGUGUAUGUUUCUUUAUGUAAUUUGUCUGUUUAGUUUUGCUUUUACCACUUGUCUUGGGGUUUUGUGUGUUCGUUUGUUUGAGUUUUUUGUUUGUUUGUUUUCUUCUUCCUUUUCUUCCACACCGUGUGGCUUGUAGGGUCUUGGUGCUCCAGCCGGGGGUCGGGCCUGAGCCUCCAAGGAGGGAGAGCUGAGUUCAGGAUUUUGGACCACCAGAGAACUCCCAGCCCCAUGGAAUAUUAAUCGGUGAGAGCUCGCCCAGCAGUCUCCAUCUUAACACAAAGACCUGGCUCCACCCAAUGGCCAGCAAGCUCCAGUGCUGGAUGCCUCAUGACAAACAACUAGCAAGACAGGAACACAACCCCACCCAUUACCAGACAGCCUGCCUAAAGUAAUACUAAGCUCACAGACACCAUAAAGCACACCACCAGAAGUGGCCCUGCCCAUCAGAAGAACAAGAUCUACCUCCACUCACAGAACGCAGGCACCAGUGCCCCCAACCAGGAAGCCUACACAAGCCAGUGGGGACAGACAACAGAAGUAAAAGGCACUAUGACCCUGCAGCCUGCAGAAAGGAGACCCCAAACACAGUAAAUUAAACAAAAUGAGAAGACAGAGAAAUAUGCAGCAGAUGAAAGAGCAAGGUAAAAACCCACCAGACCAAACAAAUGAAGAGGAGAUAGGCAGUCUACCUGAAAAAGAAUCCAGAGUAAUGCUAAUAAAGAUGAUCCAAAAUCUUGGAAAGAGAAUGGAGAAAAUACAAGAGACAUUUAACAAGGACCUAGAAAAUCUAAAGAACAAACAAACACUGUUGAACAACACAAUAAAUGAAAUUAAAAAUUCUCUAGAAGGAAUCAAUGGGAGACUAACUGAGGCAGAAGAACGGAUAAGUGAGCUGAAAGAUAGAAUGGUGGAAAUAACUGCUGUGAAGCUGAAUAAAGAAAAAAGAAUGAAAAGAAUUGAGGACAUCUAUCAUUGGACAUUUAGGUUGUUUCCAUGUCCUGGCUAUUGUAAAUAGUGCUGCAAUGAACACUGGGGUACGUGUGUCCUUUUGAAUUAUGGUUUUCUCAGGGUAUAUGCCCAGUAAUGGGAUUUCUGGGUACAGAUGAACCUAUUUGAAGGGCAGGAAUAGAGAUGUAGAGGAAGAGAACUGACAUGUAGACACAGUAGGGGAAGGAGAGGAUGGGACGAACUGGGAGAUUAGGUUUGACAUAAAUACACGACCAUGUGUAAAAUAGAUAGCUAGUGGAAACCUGCUGUAGAGCACACGGAGCUCAGAUCAGUGCUCUGUGAUGACCUAGAUGGGUGCGGGGAGGGGAGAAGGGUGGUCCAAGAGGGAGUGGAUAUAGGUAUACGUAUAGCGGAUUCACUUCAUUGUACAGCAGAAACUAACACAAAAUUGUAAAGCAAUUUUACUCCAAUUAAAAAAAAGAAUUGAGGACAGUCUCAGAGACCUCUGAGAUAACAUUAAAUGCACCCACAUUCGAAUUAUAGGGGCCCCAGAAGAAGAGAAAAAGCAAGGGUCUGAGAAAAUAUUUGAAGAGCUUAUAGUCGAAAACUUCCCUAACAUGAAAAGGAAAUAGCCACCCAAGUCCAGGAAGCACACAUUCCCGUACACGGUAAACAAGGAGAAGCACACCAAGACACAUAUUAAGCAAACUAUCAAAAAUUAAAUGCAAAGAAAAAACAUUAGCACAUAUUCCCGUACAUGGUAAACACAAGGAGAAGCACACCAAGACACAUACUAAUCAAACUGUCCAAAAUUAAAUGCAAAGAGAAAACAUUAAAAGCAGCAAGGGAAAAGCAAUUAAUAACAUACAAAGGAAUCCCCAUAAGGUUAUCAGCUGAUUUUGCAGCAGAAACUCUGCAGGCCAGAUGGGAGUGACCGGAUAUAUUUUAAAUGACAAAAGAGAAAAACCUACAACCAAGAUUACUCUAACCAGCAAGGAUCUCAUUCAGAUUCAAUGGAGAAAUUAAAACCUUUACAGAGAAACAGAAGCUAAGAGAAUUCAGCCCCAUCGAACCAGUUCUACAACAAACGCUAAAGGAACUUCUCUAAGCGGGAAACAUGAGAGAAGAAAAGGACCUACAAAAACAAACCCAAAACAAUUAAGAAAAUGGUAAUAGGAACAUACAUAUAGAUAAUUGCCUUAAAUGUGAAUGGAUUAAAUGCGCCAACCAAAAGACACAGACUAGCUGAAUGGAUAUAAAAACAAGACCUGUAUAUAUUCUGUCUGCAAGAGACCCACUUCCGACCUAGGGACACAUACAGACUGAAAACGAGGGGAUGGAAAAAGAUAUUCCACGCAAAUGGACCUCAAAAGAAAGCUGGAGUAGCAAUACACAAAUCAGACAAAAUAGACUUUAAAAUAAAGACUAUUACAAGAGAUAAUGAAGGAUACUACAUAUUGAUCAAGUGAUCAAUCCAAGAAGAAGAAAUAACAAUUGUAAAUAUUUAUGCACCGAAUAUAGAAGCACCUGAAUACAUAAGGCAAAUGCUAACAGCCAUAAAAGGGGAAGUCGACAGUAACAUGAUAAUAGUAUGGAACCUUAACACCCCACUCACACCAAUGGACAUAUCAUCCAAACAGAAAAUAAAUAAGGAAACGCAAGCUUUAAGUGACACAUUAGACCAGACGGACUUAAUUGAUACUUAUAGGACAUUUCAUCCAAAAACAACAGAAUACACUUUCUUCUCAAGUGCACAUGGAACAUUCACCAGGAUAGUUCACAUCUUGGGUCACAAGUUAAGCCUAGGUAAAUUUUAAAAAAUUGAAAUCAUAUCAAGCAUCUUUUCUGACCACAACGCUAUGAGACUAGAUAUAAAUUACAGCAAAAAAUCUGUAAAAAACACAAACACAUGGAGGCUAAACAACACACUACUCAAUAACCAAGAGAUCACUUAAGGAAUCAAAGAUGAAAUCAAAAAAUACCUAGAAAAAAAUGACAAUGGAAACAGGAUGACCCAAAAUCUGUGGGAUGCAGCAAAAGCAGUUCUAAGAGGGAAGUUUACAGCAAUACAAUCCUACCUCAAGAAGCAAGAAAAAUCUCAAAUAAACAACCUAACCUUACACCUAAAGCAAUCAGAGAAAGAAGGAAAAAAAAUACCCCAAAGUUAGCAGAAGGAAAGAAAUCAUAAAGAUCAGAUCAGAAAUAAAUGUAAAAGAAAUGAAGGAAACAAUGGCAAUGAUCAAUAAAACUAUAGACUAAUUUGAAAAGAUAAACAAAAUUGAUAAACUAUUAGCCAGACUCAUCAGGAAAAAAAAGGGAAAGACACAAAUCAACAGAACUAGAAACAAAAAAGGAGAAGUAACAACUAACACGGAAGAAAUACAAAGGAUCAUGAGAGACUACUACAAACAACUAUAUGGUAAUAAAAUGGACAACUGGAAGAAAUGGACAAAUUCUAAGAAAAGUACAACCUUCCAAGACUGAGCCAGGAAGAAAUAGAAAAUAUGAACAGACCAGUCACAAGCAGUGAAAUUGAAACUGGGAUUAAAAAUCUUCCAACAAACGAAAGCCCAGGGCCAGAAGCCUUCACAGGCUAAUUCAAUCAAACAUUUAGAGAAGAGCUAACACCUAUCCUUCUCAAACUCUUCCAAAAUAUAACAGAAGGAGGAACACUCCCAGACUCAUUCUGGAGGCCACCAUCACCCUGACACCAAAACCAGACAAAGAUGUCAAAAAAAAGAAAAUGACAGGCCAGUAUAACUGAUGAACAUAGAUGAAAAAGUCCUCAACAAAAUACUAGCAAACAGAAUCUGACAACACAUUAAAAUGAUCAUUCACCAUGAUCAAGUGGGGUGUAUCCCAGGAAGGCAAGUAUUCUUCAAUACAGGCAAAUCAAUCAAUGUGAUACACGAAGUUAACAAACUGAAGGAUAAAAACCAUAUGAUCACCUCAAUGGAUGCAGAAAAAGCUUUCGAUAAAAUUCAACACCCAUUUAUGAUAAAAACUCUCCAGAAAGUGGGCACAGAGGGAACCUACCUCAACAUAAUAAAGGCCUAUAUGACAAACACACAUCCAACAUCACUUUCAGUGGUGAAAAACUAAAAGCAUUUCCUGUAAGAUCAGGAACAAGAAAAGGUUGCCCACUCUCACCACUAUUAUUCAACGUAGUUUUGGAAAUUUUAGCCACGGCAAUCAGAAAAGAAAAAGAAAUAAAAGGAAUCCAAACUGGAAAAGAAGAAGUAAAAGUGUCACUCUUUGCAGAUGACAUGAUACUAUACAUAGAGAAUCCUAAAGAUGCCACCAGAAAACUACUAGAGCUCAUCAAUGAAUUUGGUAAAGUAGCAGGAUACAAAAUUAAUGCACAGAAAUCUCUGGCAUUCCUAUGUACUAACAAUGAAAAAUCAGGAAGAGAAAUUAAGGAAACACUUCCAUUUACCACUGCAACAAAAAGAAUAAAAUACCUAGGAAUAAACCUACCUAAGGAGCAGAAGACUGUAUGCAGAACACUAUAAGACAUUAAUGACAGAAAUCAAAGAUGAUACAAACAGAUGGAGAGAUAUACCAUGUUCUUGGAUUGGAAGAAUCAACACUGUGAAAAUGACUAUACUACCCAAAGCAAUCGACAGAUUCAAUGCAAUCCCAAUCAAAUUACCACUGGCAUUUUUCACAGAACUAGAGCAAAAUAUUUUACAAUUUGUAUGGAAACACAAAAGACCCCGAAUAGCCAAAGCAAUCUUGAGAAAGAAAAAUGGAGCUGGAGGAAUCAGGCUCCUUGACUUCAGACUAUACUACAAAGCUACAGUAAUCAAGACAGUAUGGUGCUGGCACAAAAACAGAAAUAUAGAUCAAUAGAACAGGAUAGAAAACCCAGAGAUAAACCCAUGCACUCAUGGUCACCUUAUCUUUGACAAAGGAGGCAAGAAUAUACAAUGGAGAAAAGACAGCCUCUUCAAUAAUUGAUGCUGGGAAAACCAGACAGCCACAUGUUAAAGAAUGAAAUUAGAAUACUCCCUAACACCAUACACAAAAGUAAACUCAAAAUGGAUUAAAGAUCUAAAUGUAAGGCCAGACACUAUAAAACUUAGAGGAAAACAUAGGCAGAACACUCUAUGACAUGAAUCACAACAAGAUCUUUUUGACCCACCUCCUAGAAAAAUGGAAAUAAAAACAAAAAUAAACAAAUCAGACCUAGUGAAACUUAAAAGCUUUUGCACAGCAAAGGAAAACAUAAACAAGACAAAAAGGCAACCCUAGAAUGGGAAAAAAUAUUUGCAAAUGAAGCAACUGACAAAGGAUUAAUCUCCAAAAUACACAAGCAGCUCAUGCAGCUCAAUAUCAAAAAGACAAACAACCCAAUCCAAAAAUGGGCAGAAGACCUAUAUAGACAUUUCUCCAAAGACGACAUACAGAUGGCCAAUAAACACAUGAAAAGAUGAUCAACAUCACUAACCAUUAGAGAAAUGCAAAUCAAAACUAUAAUGAGGGAUCAUCUCACACUGGUCAGAAUAGCCAUCAUCAGAAAAUCUACAAACAACCUACAAACAAUGCUGGAGAGGGUGUGGAGAAAUGGGAACCCUCCUGCACUGUUGGUGGGAAUAUAAAUUGAUAUAGCCACUAUGGAGAACAGUAUGGAGGUUCCUUAAAAAAACUAUAAAUAGAACUACCAUAUGACCCAGCAAUCCCACUACUGGGAAUAUAUCCUGAGAAAACCGUAAUUCAAAAAGAUACAUGUAGCACAGUGUUCAUCGCAGCACUAUUUACAAUAGCCAGGACAUAGAAACAACCUAAAUGUCCAUCGACAGAUGAAUGGAUAAAGAAAAUGUGGCACAUAUAUACAAUGAAAUAUUACUCAGCCAUAAAAAAAGCAAAAUUGAGUUAUUUGUAGUGAGGUGGAUAGACGUAGCGUCUGACAUACUGAGUGAAGUAAGUCAGAAAGAGGAAAACAAAUACUGUAUGCUAACACAUAUAUAUGGAAUCUAGAAAAAUGGUACUGAUGAACCUAGUGGUAGGGCAGGAAUAAAGAUGCAGACGUUGAGAAUGGACUUGAGGACGCAGUGGGGGAAAAGGAGGCUGGGACAUAGUGAGAAAGUAACAUUGACAUAUAUACACUACCAAAUGUAAAAUAGCUAGCUAGUGGAAAGCUGCUGCAUAGCACAGGGAGAUCAGCUCAGUGCCUUGUGAAAACCUAGAGGGGUGAGAUAGGGAGGGUAGAGGGAAGGCUCAAGAUGGAGGGGAUAUGUGAAUAUAUGUAUGCAUAUAGCUUAUUCACUUUGUUGUACAGCAGAAACUAACACAACAUUGUAAAGCAUUUAUAUUUCAAUAAAAAUGUAUAAAAAAUA
Long non-coding RNA from Orcinus orca (killer whale), 11497 nucleotides. RefSeq lists it as uncharacterized. The transcript is spliced from 4 exons. The record is from RefSeq and is a predicted model, not a curated record. NCBI's taxonomy places the organism in Eukaryota, Metazoa, Chordata, Mammalia, Artiodactyla, Delphinidae.